RNAcentral lists this ribosomal RNA (370 nucleotides) under Gloydius intermedius (Central Asian pitviper). RNAcentral's name for it is "partial 12S ribosomal RNA". The record is from RNAcentral. Lineage: Eukaryota; Metazoa; Chordata; Lepidosauria; Squamata; Viperidae.
GCCUAGCCGUAACACACAAUUAAACAACCAAUUGUUCGCCAAACAACUACGAGCUAUACUUGAAACUUAAAAGACUUGACGGUACUUCAUCACGGCCUAGAGGAGCCUGUCUAAUAACCGACAAUCCACGAUUAACCCAACCCCUUCUUGCCCAACAGUCUAUAUACCGCCGUCGCCAGCUUACCUUGUAAAAGAAAUAAAGUGAGCUAAAUAAUACAACACUAAAACGACAGGUCGAGGUGUAACUUAUGAAGGGGCCAAGAUGGGCUACAUUCUCUCCGAGAAUACGAAUAACACUAUGAAAUUAGUGCUUGAAGGCGGAUUUAGCAGUAAGCUAAGAAUAAAAUACUUAACUGAACAUAACGCAAUG